CUCAGUGUUAAACAACAGCAGUCCGACAGAAGAUGAUUUCACGAUGGCAGGAGGAGAUCUGUGGAAAACAGAACAGCAGUUGUGGUUUGAAGAGUACCUUUCUUCAGGAAAUUGUGGAGACUCUGCAGCAAUGGCUGAAGGUAUACUCUCCAAGUUACCUAAUGGAAUAGUGGCUACACCCUGUUUUCUGUGACGUGG
Long non-coding RNA from Eubalaena glacialis (North Atlantic right whale), 198 nucleotides. RefSeq lists it as uncharacterized. NCBI's taxonomy places the organism in Eukaryota, Metazoa, Chordata, Mammalia, Artiodactyla, Balaenidae. The transcript is spliced from 3 exons. The record is from RefSeq and is a predicted model, not a curated record.